RNAcentral lists this ribosomal RNA (253 nucleotides) under uncultured bacterium. RNAcentral describes it as "partial 16S ribosomal RNA". It matches the Rfam family "Bacterial small subunit ribosomal RNA", at positions 524 to 776 of the family's 1533-position model. The record is from RNAcentral.
UACGUAGGGUGCGAGCGUUAAUCGGAAUUACUGGGCGUAAAGUGUGCGCAGGCGGCGUUGCAAGUCGAGUGUGAAAUCCCUCAGCUUAACUGGGGAACUGCGUCUGAUACUGGAUGGCUUGGAUUUGGGAGAGGGAUGCGGAAUUCCAGGUGUAGCGGUGAAAUGCGUAGAUAUCUGGAGGAACACCGGUGGCGAAGGCGGCAUCCUGGACCAAUAUUGACGCUGAGGAGCGAAAGCCAGGGGAGCAAACGGG